Molecule: ribosomal RNA, 279 nt
Filed under: uncultured bacterium
Lineage: Bacteria
Description: partial 16S ribosomal RNA
Rfam family: Bacterial small subunit ribosomal RNA
Source: RNAcentral
UGCCAGCAGCCGCGGUAAUACGGAGGGUGCGAGCGUUAAUCGGAAUUAUUGGGCGUAAAGCGCGUGUAGGCGGUUCGUUAAGUCUGAUGUGAAAGCCCGGGGCUCAACCCCGGAAGUGCAUUGGAAACUGGCGAACUUGAGUACGGGAGAGGAAAGUGGAAUUCCGAGUGUAGGGGUGAAAUGCGUAGAGAUCUGAAGGAACAUCAGUGGCGAAGGCGACCUCCUGGACUGAUAUUGACGCUGAGGUGCGAAAGCGUGGGGAGCAAACAGGAUUAGAUA